This 70-nucleotide transfer RNA is filed under the name Canis lupus familiaris (dog). It matches the Rfam family "tRNA". Rfam says of the family: Transfer RNA (tRNA) molecules are approximately 80 nucleotides in length. Their secondary structure includes four short double-helical elements and three loops (D, anti-codon, and T loops). RNAcentral also lists the same sequence under 2 other names. Lineage: Eukaryota; Metazoa; Chordata; Mammalia; Carnivora; Canidae. The record is from Rfam by way of RNAcentral.
GCCUGGCUGGCUUAGUCGUAGAGCAUGUGACUCCAUCUCAGGAUUGUGAGUUCAAGCCCCACGUUGGGUA